RNAcentral lists this unclassified non-coding RNA (380 nucleotides) under uncultured Paracoccaceae bacterium. Its description in RNAcentral is "uncultured Rhodobacteraceae bacterium contains 16S-23S intergenic spacer region". Lineage: Bacteria; Pseudomonadati; Pseudomonadota; Alphaproteobacteria; Rhodobacterales; Paracoccaceae. The record is from RNAcentral.
UCCCGCUUAUCACGGGCAGUUCCCCUAAAGUGCCCACCAUAACGUGCUGGCAACCAAGGGUGUGGGUUGCGCUCGUUGCCGGACUUAACCGAACAUCUCACGACACGAGCUGACGUCAGCCAUGCAGCACCUGUCCACCUGCCCCUUGCGGGGAAAACCUGUCUCCAGGCCGGUCAGGCGAUGUCAAGGAUUGGUAAGGUUCUGCGCGUUGCUUCGAAUUAAACCGCAUGCUCCACCGCUUGUGCGGGCCCCCGUCAAUUCCUUUGAGUUUUAGUCUUGCGACCGUACUCCCCAGGCGGGGCACUUAGUGCGUUAGCUACGGCACGGAACCCGUUGAUAAGGCCCCACACCUAGUGCCCAACGUUUACGGCGUGGACUAC